This 870-nucleotide ribosomal RNA is filed under the name uncultured bacterium. RNAcentral describes it as "bacterial SSU rRNA". It matches the Rfam family "Bacterial small subunit ribosomal RNA", at positions 62 to 901 of the family's 1533-position model. The record is from RNAcentral.
CCCAUUGAUUGACGGUGCUUGCAUCUGAUUGAUUUUGGUUGCCAACGAGUGGCGGACGGGUGAGUAACACGUAGGUAACCUGCCCAGAAGUGGGGGACAACAUUUGGAAACAGAUGCUAAUACCGCAUAACAGCGUUGUUCGCAUGAACAACGCUUAAAAGAUGGCUUCUCGCUAUCACUUCUGGAUGGACCUGCGGUGCAUUAGCUUGUUGGUGGGGUAACGGCCUACCAAGGCGAUGAUGCAUAGCCGAGUUGAGAGACUGAUCGGCCACAAUGGGACUGAGACACGGCCCAUACUCCUACGGGAGGCAGCAGUAGGGAAUCUUCCACAAUGGGCGCAAGCCUGAUGGAGCAACACCGCGUGAGUGAAGAAGGGUUUCGGCUCGUAAAGCUCUGUUGUUAAAGAAGAACACGUAUGAGAGUAACUGUUCAUACGUUGACGGUAUUUAACCAGAAAGUCACGGCUAACUACGUGCCAGCAGCCGCGGUAAUACGUAGGUGGCAAGCGUUAUCCGGAUUUAUUGGGCGUAAAGAGAGUGCAGGCGGUUUUCUAAGUCUGAUGUGAAAGCCUUCGGCUUAACCGGAGAAGUGCAUCGGAAACUGGAUAACUUGAGUGCAGAAGAGGGUAGUGGAACUCCAUGUGUAGCGGUGGAAUGCGUAGAUAUAUGGAAGAACACCAGUGGCGAAGGCGGCUACCUGGUCUGCAACUGACGCUGAGACUCGAAAGCAUGGGUAGCGAACAGGAUUAGAUACCCUGGUAGUCCAUGCCGUAAACGAUGAGUGCUAGGUGUUGGAGGGUUUCCGCCCUUCAGUGCCGGAGCUAACGCAUUAAGCACUCCGCCUGGGGAGUACGACCGCAAGGUUGAAACU